RNAcentral lists this unclassified non-coding RNA (319 nucleotides) under uncultured fungus. RNAcentral's name for it is "partial contains small subunit ribosomal RNA, internal transcribed spacer 1, and 5.8S ribosomal RNA". The stretch from base 1 to 73 matches the Rfam family "Eukaryotic small subunit ribosomal RNA", at positions 1759 to 1831 of the family's 1831-position model. The record is from RNAcentral. Lineage: Eukaryota; Fungi.
GCAAACUUGGUCAUUUAGAGGAAGUAAAAGUCGUAACAAGGUUUCCGUAGGUGAACCUGCGGAAGGAUCAUUAACGAGUUUUUGAAAGGGGUUGUAGCUGGCCUAAAAACAAGGCAUGUGCACACCCUGCUCAAUCCACUCUCAAACCCCUGUGCACUUACUGUAAGCUAUGGUGGGAUAGCCGACUUCGGUUGGUUUGAAAGCCUUGCUUAUGUUUAUUACAAACGCUUCAGUUUAAGAAUGUAACACCGCGUUUAACGCAUUAAAUACAACUUUCAGCAACGGAUCUCUUGGCUCUCGCAUCGAUGAAGAACGCAGC